UUCAAGAGCCCGUUCCGGCGCUUGCAGAAGGUCACCUGGCGGCUAGUGGUAUUCUCAAUCCUCUUGAUCUCAAUCCUUCCCCUCCCCAUCUCGGCCGCUUCUUGGUGUUAGCCCUGAAAUCAGACAAACACGGCAGAUCCAUCGAUCGGUCAAGGAUGAUACAACAAAAGUUACCACGAAUGCAAAUAUAUGUAAUAAUGUAAGGUGUGAUGGAUCUAACCGAAAGGAAAAAAAAAAAAGGAAGGCAUAGGAAAGGGAUGAACAAGGAACAAGAAAAGGGAUCGAUCCGCGGGCCUAGCUUGCAAAGAAAACUGGAAGAAGGAGAAAAACAAUUCCAUGAUUUGAUUGAUGGACGACCAAAUUUGAAGAUGGCUAAACAUGGUGAAUCGAUCCCAUGAUUUGACGGAUGCAAGUCAUCCUUUUGGUCUGUGAAGAAGUCACGGCAACAUAAGAUCUAGCAAAGGUAAUAAAAGCUUUCUUCUUCUCCAUCUGUCUCACAAAUAACCCAAAGCGACAAGUAGAGAUCCCUUUAGAACCAGUUCCCAGCUGCUGGGCUGGGAUGGGAUGGAAUUAACAGCUCCAAGAAAAAGCAUUAUAUCACUGAAGUUUCAUCCCUGAAAGGGAAAAAGAAGAAAGCAGAUCUUUUUUUUUAGUUGAGAAGAAACUAAAUCUGUUAGCAAGAUCGUUUUUGUAUCCCAAAACAAAGCAAGCAAAAGUUGGUACGAUCUCUCUUAACAAAAGUACUGUAGCUGCUUAGAAGAAACAUCCGCGCUCGUCUAGUAGCAUGUUACCGUGCAAGAUGAAAGAUCUGUCUAGAACUCCAGAUAGCUAGCUAAGAAUAGACUGAACUCUGUACAAGUAAACCAACCAAGACUUCCAGAACGAAUCAACAAGAUAGCCAAGCACACGCACCGGCGGCCGUGAAAGAAUCCAAAGUCUAGAUGGCUAGAAACAGAGGGGAAAUCAUCCAUUCCAAGAGAAAAAAAAGCAUCAAAGGAUAAAUCUCCGUCCAUGGUUUUUCUUGCAACAACGUACUAACAGAAGAAGAAAAAGGAAGAGAUGAGAUGGAUCGAUUUCCUAAAAGAGACACAACAAAUAUACAAAGCAAGAAGAUCCAUGUAAACUGCAGGCAUAUACAUGCAUGAACAUAACCCAUGGCAGAUCAUAACGAAAGACAAGCAUGGAUACAAGGAGGGGGUAACCUAGCUAGGCAGAAGAGCAGACGAUGGACAAGGUAUGGAGCUCUCUGAUGCAGCUAGCUGUCCUUCCUCCCUUUGGUUUAUAGGACCCAAGCCAGAGGCAGAAAAAUGAGGGGCUCCAGCUGGUUUUUCCUCUAGGAGGUAAAGUAAGAGACGAGUUGAUAUGGGCCAAGCGAAGGCAGGGUUUUAAAGGACGGCAGGCGCUUACAUACAGAUAAGUGAACCGAGAGAUGAGACCUCACUUGCACUCUUGCACAGAAAUGCAUUUCUCUCUUGCUUACCACAUGUCACAUGUGUCACGUGGUCUCUCUUGCUGAGGCGUUUGUUAGCUUGCUUACCCGUUUAUUCUUUAUUGAUGCUCCUUUAGAUAGCUCUUCUUACUAAUAUGGAAUACUUUACUUGAUUAUCGACGUGUCCCCUCACUUUUCACUGUAUGUACGUGUUGUCGAGCUAUUUCCUCUAAUAUUGGCCAAAUUAGUUAUGUGCAAGUAAUUAAUUAAGAGGACACGAACUAACUAUUGUCAGUUCAUUCCAUGUACAUAUAUGCAUAUAUGGACAGUUCGUUCCAUGUACAUAUAUAUGCUGAGUUCAACUCAAAAUAACUUGCCGUCUUUGCUCAACACUUGUGUGCUCAGUAUUUUUUUUAGAAAGAAGGAUUACCUCCGACCUCCUCUGCAUCAGUACGACGCAUGCAGCCAUUUUAUUAAAGAAAACAAUCAAAUAGUCAGCGGUUCCUAACAAGCUCUAAAGGAGCAACAAAAUAAUUCAAAAUAAAACCAAAGGAUGCCACAACCGGCUAAUAUACGCCUAAAUGCCCAUCAAUCCUAUUAUUGGACCGCCAUUCAAACCGAUUGUAGAUAUUCCGAGCUACCAUUUUCCAUCGGAUAGACCGAGUAACCGAAGGCUCCCUGGUUUCCGUAGGAGUGAAUAACGACCAUGUACGGAUCAACGCCGAUGCCAUGUAAAGUUCCUGCAAAAAAAAAUAUGUGUCUGUUUGUAAAGUACGGACCAACGCCGACCAUGUACGGAUCAACCACCAGGACGUCUCCAACGCAUUUCUUCACGGCCAUCUCGCCGAGCAAGUCUACUGCCGGCAACCCAUUGGGUUUGUCGACGCCACUCAUCCGGAUCAUGUGUGCGUGCUUUCUAGAUCUCUGUACGGGUUGAAUCAGGCACCCUGAGCGUGGUACCAGCGCACCGCUGCCUUUCUCUAGCAGUUAGGCCUUCGAGCUACUCACUCCGACACCUCCCUCUUCAUGUUCUCUCACGGCAACGCGUUGGCAUACCUACUCCUCUACGUCGAUGACAUCAUCUUCACGUCAUCCUCGGCCGAGCUUCUGGGGCAGCUCACCGCUCGCCUAAGCACCAAGUUUGGUUUGAAGGAUCUGGGUCGGGUCCACUACUUCCUUGGCACUCAUGUUAUUCGGCGUUGUGAUGGGUUUUUUCUUCAUCACGAGAAGUAUGCACAUGAACUUCUCGAGCGCACCGGCAUGCUUAACUGCAAGCCUGUCACCACUCCCUGUGAUACGAGGGCAGAGCUCUCCGCUCUUGAUGGAUCUCCCACACCGGAUGGUUCUCUUUAUCGCUGUGUUGUCGGUGCACUUCGGUACUUGACUCUCACCAGACCGGACUUACAGUAUGCAGUACAACAUGUGUGUCUUCACAUGCAUUCUCCUCGCAACAGGAACUAGAACUUGGUGAAGCGGAUCCUUCGUUACAUUCGCGACACCAUGGACCUAGGGCUCACCUUGACAACAUCAUCAUCCACCGACAUGGUUGCAUAUUUCAACGCUGAUUGGACAAGCUGCCCUGACACUCGUCGCUCUACAUCCAGCUAGUGCAUUCACCUCGGGCCUUCCCUUAUCUCUUGGUCAUCGAAACGACAACCGACGAUGUCCCACUCUAUUGUCGAGGCAGAGUAUAGAGUAGUGGCCAACGCCGUUGCCGAAUGCUCCUGGUUACGGCAGCUUCUUCAGGAGAGCUUCAUCAUGACGCAUCAUAGGCUACACUUGUGUACUGUGACAACAUCCCCGUCGUCUACCUCUCCGCCAACCCGUUCAUCUUCGCCGCACGAAGCACAUCGAGCUGGACAUCCACUUCGUGCGUGAGAAGGUGGCUCUUGGACGCAUUUGCGUCUUACAUGUGCCGACUGCGCAAUAGUUUGCCGACCUUAUGACCAAGGGGUUACCGACGUCUACUUUCGAGGAGUUCAGGUCCAGUCUAUACGUCACUAGUGACGCUUAGGCAGCUAGGAUUAUGUUUCUUAUUUCCUAGUUUAUCUCCCAAUCCUUUCCGUAUAUAACAGAUACGUUGAGAUAUUUUUGCCCAUGUACUCUAUAUAUGUUAAGCCAUACGAUCAAUGCAAAUAUUCACAAUCUACAAUCAUAUCAUCCAAGUGUAGCAACUGUACAUGUUAGUCACAUGCAUGUACUCCGCGAUCACUCGAGUCAAUGCAAUCGAUACCAAAUUCCAAAAUCGGCCGGCCCUUGUUCUUAUCUCCCUCUCCCUUUCUGAUGCUAAGCAUUAAGUGCAGCUAACUGCAUGCUCUUGUUUUGGACCGAGCUUUAAUCUGACCCGGGCAAUUUGCAGUUACUGCUUUUCUGCAGCAUAUUGUGUAUAGUCAUCUCACAUCAUAAGACUGAUAUUGAGAGGGAUGGAGGUCAGAGAGGAGAGGGCAGGGCAGUGGGCGGUCAGGGGUCAAUGUCGCAAUGCCCAGUUUAGGUGAGCAGCACCUGAUCCUCACCCCACGAGGCAGGUCGCCGGAUUCGUGCUAAGCUAAAAAUCUUUUCUCACGCCAAUAUAUUAUAUUCUUUCUACUUGAUGGUUCAUCGAUGCACUGCGCGGCAUCACACUACAUACGUCCAUGCAUGUGAGGCUGGAGCAAGUGCAAAAGCAACGGUUAUAUGCUGCACAGCUGCAAAAUGAGUUAAUUGUGCGAAAGCACAACAUUGAGGGGUAGGUUUACACAAAACAAGCCUUCACAAAAUUUUUGCAAAAAAGAAAAAGAAACUGUGUAUGGUAAACAUUUUGCAUAUACCACUAAUCCGUGGAGUAAUGUUUUAAACAUUUUUAUGACAAGUGGGUCCCGCUUUUUGCCGAUGUGGCAUAUCGGCUAGCUCGCUUCGAACGGCAUUAACCUGCGCGAGUGGAGACGUCUGGUUUAAACAUGGACCUGAACCGAACUCUUUCCUCGCUGUGUGGUCUCUGAUAGAGGUGAAGGUGUCCUGAUGUUUCGAUGAGAUCGAGGUAGCUAUCGUUUUUGGUGGAAGUCGACUUUGAUGAUCCGACUAUAAACGUGCGAGGACGUCACGUCUUAGUAUUCAACUCCGAUAGAAUAUUGAUCAUGACGGAGCACGAUUAACUUGACCGUGAGUUUCUAUUGCAUGUACAGAAACAAAGAACAAGUAAGAAAGUGAGAUCGCAAUCUGAAUAUUGCGAAUUUAAGAGGAAACCUUUACUAAUCAAGUGCGUCCUGUGACGUGUUGGUCUGAUGGUUAAACAGAAGCGAAGGGUGCCAGUUACAACUAUGACAAACUUUAAUCGAAACAAAACCCCAAUUCUAAAUGGUGCCUUAAGAGCUCUAUUUGUAGGAAAAGAGUAGAUAUUUCGUCCACUCUUGACAAAGUGGGACUAAAACACCUUUUGAGUUGUUUCCCAUACAAUACGGGCUCUAAAAACAACCUAAUAAGAGGUAUUUGGAAAUUACAUGAACCUAGCCUAGAAAUAAGGCGGUGCAACACCUAAGUAAAGCUAAUGACGAAAUUUAUGCGAGACAUCCUGUAUAUUUCGUCCAUCUUCCUGUAUGUCACAUCCCUAGUUUGGUAAUGCACUAGGAUAGCUCACCUUGAUUGCAUCAUGUUUAAAUUCAAAUGAAACUUGAAAUCGGGAUGAUCAAACCCUAGCACCAAAAUAAUUCAACUAGGUUAAACUUUAAAUAUUUUUCAAUGAACACAAAAUUCCCUUCAAAAAUGUCCAUGAUUUAUGGAAAAGGGUGAAAACCUCAUGAGGACAUCAAUACCAUUUUUACACGCACAUGCCAUGCUGCUAUACAUACUAGACGAAUUAUUAGAGCCCGCGCACGUGAAUUGAAUUACCAUGUACUUUUAUUUUUUUGUAAUAAUUCUAAUGUUCAAGAUAAUAUGAUGCCACCUAAAUUGGAUAUAUUUGCGUUGAUUUCUAAUGAAGGGCCUAUCAUUGAAAAGAGGGAUGAAUAUUGGAGCGGGAUCAAGCAUGGUGAUGAAGGCAUGCGCUAAGGGAACCAGAACGGGGUUUCUGGUGGAGAUUUCAGCACUUUGAAGCUUCAUUAUUAACAUACCAGGACAUGAAUGGAAUAUACAAGAUGCUCUUUCAUAAAAUUUGUCCAUAGUUUAUUAUAUGUGCUGCUCAUUUUAUUUUUGGUCCAGGCCUAUGUAAUUUUGAAAUACAAUUUCCUAGGUUGGUAAUAGAGUCUGUAUUGUAGGGGAAAUGACUCGGGAUGUGAUUUAGUCCCACCUUGUCAAGGUUGGAUGAAAUCCCCUCCGUUUCCUCUAUAAAUACAGCCCUUAAGGCACCAUUUAGACUUGGGGUUUGUUUAGAUAAAAAGUUCGCCAUAGCUAUAACUUUGCGUCCUUCGUUUGUGUUCCACGACUAGACCAAG
Molecule: long non-coding RNA, 5835 nt
Filed under: Hordeum vulgare
Lineage: Eukaryota; Viridiplantae; Streptophyta; Magnoliopsida; Poales; Poaceae
Description: long non-coding RNA (HVUL_LNC000658)
Source: RNAcentral